RNAcentral lists this ribosomal RNA (349 nucleotides) under Erysipelotrichaceae bacterium. Its description in RNAcentral is "bacterial SSU rRNA". It matches the Rfam family "Bacterial small subunit ribosomal RNA", at positions 1 to 336 of the family's 1533-position model. The record is from RNAcentral. Lineage: Bacteria; Bacillati; Bacillota; Erysipelotrichia; Erysipelotrichales; Erysipelotrichaceae.
CAAACGGAGAGUUUGAUCCUGGCUCAGGAUGAACGCUGGCGGCGUGCUUAAUACAUGCAAGUCGAACGAGUGAAGUUGAUAAGCUUGCUUAUCGAUGAAUCGAGUGGCGAACGGGUGAGUAAUACGUAGGCAACCUACCUUAGUGCGAGGGAUAGCCAAGGGAAACUUUGAUUAAUACCUCAUAGGUAAUUACAAGGCAUCUUGAAAUUAUUAAAGUUGCGUUUGCAACACGCUAAGAUGGGCUUACGGUGUAUUAGUUAGUUGGUGAGGUAACGGCCCACCAAGACGAUGAUACAUAGCCGGCCUGAGAGGGUGAACGGCCACAUUGGGACUGAGACACGGCCCAGAC